GCGGUGCUGCCCGGUGCGUCAGGAGAUAUCUAAUCCCCGGGCCCUUACCGAUCCUGAAGGGAGCUGUCCCUGGCUUGGCCCGUGGGCCUUGCCAAACGGCGCCCACCUACGUUGCUAGGUGUCCCGGGAUCGAAAACUCCAACGGCCGGUGUGGCCCGCC
Molecule: non-coding RNA, 160 nt
Filed under: Hyphomicrobiales bacterium
Lineage: Bacteria; Pseudomonadati; Pseudomonadota; Alphaproteobacteria; Hyphomicrobiales
Also listed under: 1 other name
Description: 6S RNA
Rfam family: 6S / SsrS RNA
About the family: E. coli 6S RNA was the first non coding RNA to be sequenced, but its function was unknown until recently.
Source: RNAcentral